RNAcentral lists this unclassified non-coding RNA (240 nucleotides) under soil metagenome. RNAcentral's name for it is "partial contains 5.8S ribosomal RNA, internal transcribed spacer 2, and large subunit ribosomal RNA". The record is from RNAcentral.
AAGACUAUAGACCUGCGGAGUACCUGCGGAAGGAUCAUUAUCGAGUUACAAAACUCCCAAACCCAUGUGAAUCUUACCAUCGUUGCUUCGGCGGUCCGCCCCGGGCGCGCCCCAGCGCGUGACCCGGGCCAAGGCGGCCGCCGGGGGACCCAAACUCUUGUCUUUACAGUGGAAUUCUGAGUGGCAUAAGCAAAUAAUCAAAACUUUUAGCAAUGGAUCUCUAGAUCGGAAGAGCACACG